RNAcentral lists this ribosomal RNA (801 nucleotides) under uncultured bacterium. RNAcentral describes it as "bacterial SSU rRNA". It matches the Rfam family "Bacterial small subunit ribosomal RNA", at positions 8 to 798 of the family's 1533-position model. The record is from RNAcentral.
AGAGUUUGAUCAUGGCUCAGAUUGAACGCUGGCGGCAGGCUUAACACAUGCAAGUCGAACGGUAACAUAAAGAAGCUUGCUUCUUUGAUGACGAGUGGCGGACGGGUGAGUAAUGCUUGGGAAUCUAGCUUAUGGAGGGGGAUAACUACGGGAAACUGUAGCUAAUACCGCGUAAUAUCGAAAGAUUAAAGUGUGGGACCUUCGUGCCACAUGCCAUAGGAUGAGCCCAAGUGGGAUUAGGUAGUUGGUGAGGUAAAGGCUCACCAAGCCGACGAUCUCUAGCUGGUCUGAGAGGAUGACCAGCCACACUGGGACUGAGACACGGCCCAGACUCCUACGGGAGGCAGCAGUGGGGAAUAUUGCGCAAUGGGGGCAACCCUGACGCAGCCAUGCCGCGUGAAUGAAGAAGGCCUUCGGGUUGUAAAGUUCUUUCGGUAGCGAGGAAGGCAUUUAGUUUAAUAGACUAGGUGAUUGACGUUAACUACAGAAGAAGCACCGGCUAACUCCGUGCCAGCAGCCGCGGUAAUACGGAGGGUGCGAGCGUUAAUCGGAAUAACUGGGCGUAAAGGGCACGCAGGCGGUGACUUAAGUGAGGUGUGAAAGCCCCGGGCUUAACCUGGGAAUUGCAUUUCAUACUGGGUCGCUAGAGUACUUUAGGGAGGGGUAGAAUUCCACGUGUAGCGGUGAAAUGCGUAGAGAUGUGGAGGAAUACCGAAGGCGAAGGCAGCCCCUUGGGAAUGUACUGACGCUCAUGUGCGAAAGCGUGGGGAGCAAACAGGAUUAGAUACCCCGGUAGUCCAA